AAAACUCGAGAGCAUCCAAGUUCUCGAAGUCUCUGGAAGGAUGUCCAAGAAAAGCUCCUAGGGUUGAAAACUGGUAACCGUACUAAAACUGACACAGGUAGGCGAGACGAGUAGUCUCAGGCGCUCGGGAGAAUGGUGGUUAAGGAACUCUGCAAAUUCACCCCGUAAGUUCGCGAUAAGGGGUACCCUUGAAGGUGAAAGCCUCUGAGGGUCACAGAAAAUCGGCUCUAGCAACUGUUUAUCAAAAACACAGGACUCUGCUAACUCGCAAGAGGAUGUAUAGAGUCUGACGCCUGCCCGGUGUUGGUAGGUUAAGGAAGAAGGUUAGCCUCACGGCGAAGCUUGCGACCGAAGCCCCAAUAAACGGCGGCCGUAACUAUGACGGUCCUAAGGUAGCGAAGUUCCUUGUCGGGUAAGUUCCGACCUGCAUGAAUGGCGUAAUGACUGGAGCACUGUCUCAACCACCAACCCGGUGAAAUUGUAGUCGUGGUGAAGAUGCCACGUACCCGCGGUUAGACGGAAAGACCCCAUGAACCUUGACUGUAGGCUGAUAUUGGGCUGAGAUUUGUUUUGUGUAGGAUAGGUGGGAGGCUUUGAACCGGUGGCGCCAGCCAUUGGGGAGCCGACGUUGAAAUACCACCCUGAACAUGUUUUAGUUCUAACCUCGAUCCAGUGAAACCUGGCGAGGGACAGUGUCAGUUGGGCAGUUUGACUGGGGCGGUCUCCUCCAAAAGAGUAACGGAGGAGUACAAAGGCACCCUCAGCCUGGUCGGCAAUCAGGCACUGAGCGCAAUGGUAGAAGGGUGCUUAACUGCGAGACCGAUAAGUCGAGCAGAUGUGAAAGCAGGUCAUAGUGAUCCGGUGAUUCCGUAUGGAAGGGUCAUCGCUCAUCAGAUAAAAGGUACUCUGGGGAUAACAGGCUGAUCGCUACCGAGCGUCCACAGCGGCGUAGCGGUUUGGCACCUCGAUGUCGGCUCAUCACAUCCUGGGGGUGAAGAAGCUCCCAAGGGUUUGGCUGUUCGCCAAUGAAAGUGGUACGUGAGCUGGGUUCAGACCGUCGUGAGACAGGUCGGUCCCUAUCUGCCGUGGGCGUACGAAACUUGAGGAGCCUCUUCUUUAGUACGAGAGGAUUUAGAAGGACACAGCUCUGGUGUACCAGUUGUCACGCUAGUGGCACGGCUGGAUAGCUAUCUGUGGAAAGGAUAAACGCUGAAAGCAUCUAAGGGUGAAGCCCGCUCCAAGACUAGGUUUCGUAAGGUUAAUAACCGAAAGUCCCCUCGAAGACUACGAGGUUGAUAGGCCGGAUGUGUAAGGCCCGUAAGGGUUUCAGCUUACCGGUACUAACGGACGAACGCUUGGCCAC
RNAcentral lists this ribosomal RNA (1363 nucleotides) under metagenome. RNAcentral describes it as "bacterial LSU rRNA". It matches the Rfam family "Bacterial large subunit ribosomal RNA", at positions 1566 to 2925 of the family's 2925-position model. The record is from RNAcentral.